Non-coding RNA from Cricetulus griseus (Chinese hamster), 860 nucleotides. The record is from RefSeq and is a predicted model, not a curated record. NCBI's taxonomy places the organism in Eukaryota, Metazoa, Chordata, Mammalia, Rodentia, Cricetidae.
GUAUGUCAUGUGGCAACCUCGCCACUGCAUGCAUUUGUGUAGACCUAGCUGGUUACAUGGCCUCUUGAUGCAAUCCAGAGACAAGGUCUUUGGCAUAACCUUCCAUCGCAGGCAGAGAGUUAGCCUUGCUGGCUGGGGCCAAUCGACAGCUAAGACAGGGACCGAUGCAUUUGUGAAUUAGAAAACAAUAUUACUUUGUAAGAAGAAUGAAACUUUACUAUUAGUAAAUGCCUACCACUGGAUGCUUAAGGAAAAACAAACAAACAAACAAACAAAACGAAGCUGCUUUGGAAAGAAAAGGAGUGAGAUGAGAUGGAAGGUAGAGGUUGAAUGUCACUUAAGAGGUGGUGUGGUUGAAGAUGCUAUGGCGUCAGGCAUUGGAAACAGGAAAAUUUUCUCAGUAUUUCCAGUGUUCCACACCUUAGACAAGAAGAAAGAGAGUCUUGGGAGUUUUGGAAGGAAAACACUCAUCCUAUCCUGGGUAGUUAAUACAUGCUAGUGCCUUACCCAUGAACACCCUUCCUAGGCAGUUUUUAAGGCGAGAAACCUAAAGUUCAAAGAAGUUAUAUAACUUAUCAAAGAUCACAGAAUUCUCAAGUGAAGGAAGUGCUAUUCAAGCUCAGCCCCCUCUGACUCUGGAGUCUACACCCAUGCUGCUCUACUUUGUGGUCAUACCCAUGAAGGUGCUGGCUUUCAGACAGAACUACAUUUCCUACAGGAAAAUGGGAAUGAUAGAGGCACUUACCCUGUGUAAAAGUUCAUGAUAUAGGAAAUGCUCAGUCAGACAUGGCUCUGCUUAGAAAACACACAUGAGUUUUCUGUAUAUAAUCAUGAGACUAAUAAAGUCAUUACAUUACUUA